CACGUAGGGCGCAAGCGUUGUCCGGAAUUAUUGGGCGUAAAGAGCUCGUAGGUGGUUUGUUACGUCUGCUGUGAAAACCUAGGGCUUAACCCUGGGCUUGCAGUGGAUACGGGCAGACUAGAGGUAAGUAGGGGAGAAUGGAAUUCCUGGUGUAGCGGUGAAAUGCGCAGAUAUCAGGAGGAACACCGGUGGCGAAGGCGGUUCUCUGGGCCUUACCUGACACUGAGGAGCGAAAGCGUGGGGAGCGAACAGG
This 253-nucleotide ribosomal RNA is filed under the name uncultured bacterium. Its description in RNAcentral is "partial 16S ribosomal RNA". It matches the Rfam family "Bacterial small subunit ribosomal RNA", at positions 524 to 776 of the family's 1533-position model. The record is from RNAcentral.